GUGAAUCAUCGAAUCUUUGAACGCACAUUGCGCCUUUUGGUAUUCCGAAAGGCAUGCCUGUUUGAGUGUCAUAUGACUUCUCAUACCUAGUUUUCUAUGUAUGAGCUUUGGACGCUGCCAUCCGUGGCUCGUCUUAAAUGUCUAAGUGGAAUGCGUAAUAAGUUUUCGCUCCCUCCACUCUAAUAACUCUUAUGUUAGACCUCAAAUCAGGUAGGACUACCCGCUGAACUUAAGCAUAUCAAUAAGCGGAGGA
RNAcentral lists this unclassified non-coding RNA (253 nucleotides) under Hannaella sp. RNAcentral's name for it is "partial contains 5.8S ribosomal RNA, internal transcribed spacer 2, and large subunit ribosomal RNA". The stretch from base 1 to 71 matches the Rfam family "5.8S ribosomal RNA", at positions 84 to 154 of the family's 154-position model. Lineage: Eukaryota; Fungi; Basidiomycota; Tremellomycetes; Tremellales; Bulleribasidiaceae. The record is from RNAcentral.